RNAcentral lists this long non-coding RNA (2084 nucleotides) under Nicotiana tabacum (common tobacco). RNAcentral describes it as "long non-coding RNA (NTAB_LNC015997)". Lineage: Eukaryota; Viridiplantae; Streptophyta; Magnoliopsida; Solanales; Solanaceae. The record is from RNAcentral.
UAGCAAUCCAAGAGAACAUCACCACCCCAAGAAAAAUCAAAAUUCAAUUAAGAAAUGGUUUGAAAAAUUCAUUGGCGCAUAACCAAGAUCCAGCAUGCUUUUCAUACAAAUCUUUUCAUACCAAACAAUGAAUAUGCUGACUAAAUGCCAUUUUGUUCAGUUUCAUUAUUUAACAUGAACCACUACUAAUUUCAAACUCAUGCAUGAAAUGAUAACCUACCAACCGAACAGGACCAAAUGAGACCCAAAAUUCAAGGCUUAAUAGUUCCAAAUGAGACAAGCAUCAGGACCAUUUCUGCUUUUACUCUUGUGACCCAAACACAGCAGUAGGCCUCAUUGCUUGAAAAUCAACACAACACUACCCUACAGCCCAUAGAUUGGUCCCUAAUUCUAUCCAUAUCUCAAUAGCAAUGAAAGUUAUACAACAGAAAAUGAAGAUUGUAGCUUGAAACAGAGAUAAGAUUUAACUUUAGCGUUGUAGUUUCCAUAAUCAGAAGGGUGAACAAGUCAACUAUACUACAAGAGAUUUAAACAUUAUACUCCCAUCCAAACAAACGAACUCCAGCUAACUUACAAACCCAAACUUGCUAAAUUAUGACACCGGGCUAUCUUAUAAAUGAGAUUCAAACCAGAAAUAUAAAUGAACAACCAAAACAUGUAAAGAAGGCAUAAACUACAUAGAAAUCACAAGAUUUUUGAAGGACAAAAGCUGAAUUUCAACAUUUAUCAUUAGUCUUCCAUGUUGAACAUAUAUUUGCACUUCACAUGCGAUUCAGGAUAUAAGAAGUACCUAGAUAUUGAAAGAACAAAUACAAGGGUAAGGAAUUCAGCAGUAGCAGUAGCAGUCAAUAACACAAAGCAGAGAUAACCAAGAGGAAAAAGAACUUUAAAACCAAGCUUUAAACCCAAUCGACUAGAGCUUCAAAUCAGACCCUUUUGACCACUAUCCUUAAACCAUUUCAGCUUUAUUUAGAUUCGAAUUUGUUCUUAGAAGCUGGAAAAUUAAGAAAUCCACAGAUAAGACCCAAUGUAACAGUAUUUUCACUGAUGUUUAGCCGCUAUGAUUUUCUUGUAUUUUCAGCUCUUCCCCUAUUCUCUAUCUCUUUGUAAUUUCUAUCUUUCUAUCUCUCUAUAUUCUUCAGUAUUCAGCCUUUAAAUAGGCACUAAUUCUAGUGCCUUCCCCAUUACCAAUCCCAUUUCCCCAUUUUUAAUUAACUCCACUAAAUCUUUUAGUGCACUUCUAACCCUACCACUAUUAGAAGCUUCUUAAGUAGGUGAAUACCCCUUUUUUAUUAAACAAUUUUCAAACUACCUCUGAAACCAAAACCAAAAAUGGGUCAAAUUGACCCAAUUCAGAGCCCAUAAGUCUGUAAUCCCCAUUGAUUCUCCUCUUGGGCUUUUGAUUUUUUUUUUUUAGAAAUCCAAUUCAAACAAAACAGAAACCCAGAAUUUUAAGAACUAAUUGAACUGAGAAUUUAAACUAAUAAUAAAAAAACAAGAACCUUUUACAAAGAAAUAGGGGCGAAGGACCAGAUGAUGAUGAACUAAAUAAUAGAACCUAAUAAUGCUAUUAAGCUAAUCAUGCAGCACGGACAGACUGAUAGGUGAGCCUAUAAUGAAGAGAAGAAAUACAGAUAGACUAAAAUGAAAUCAAAAAAAUGAAAAAAAAUCAUGCAAGACCAGUUAAAUGAAUAAGAAUACCUAGCAAGGACGGCCAGCUUUGAAUUUCUUCUUCAAACUCUCGAUUUUGACCGAAAGAGGUCUCAAUCACGUGUUCUCAGAUGAAAACACAUGACCGAGGUCCGUUUUGGUCUUAAUCAUCACCAAAUCUACCGAUUCUGGAGUUUUGACAUUUUUAGGUCUUAUCUUCGAUCUAAAAUUCGACGAGUUCGGGGAAUAUUCCAGGGAAAAGAGUCAUGGAUUUGGAAAGAGGGGAACGAGGGGGUUCUAGUGUGUUAUUUUGGUGGUGAACGGAGGUGGUGCCGCCACCCUAAGGCGGUGGGAAUGGUGGUGGCGCUAGGGUUUGAGGGUUGGUCUCUGAGAGAGAGAGGGGUGUGAGAGAGAGACGAUGCAAAGGGGGAGGG